GACGAACGCUGGCGGCGUGCUUAACACAUGCAAGUCGAACGGAAAGGCCCUGCUUUUGUGGGGUGCUCGAGUGGCGAACGGGUGAGUAACACGUGAGUAACCUGCCCUUGACUUUGGGAUAACUUCAGGAAACUGGGGCUAAUACCGUAUAGGAGCUCCUGCUGCAUGGUGGGGGUUGGAUAGUUUCGGCGGUUGGGGAUGGACUCGCGGCUUAUCAGCUUGUUGGUGGGGUAGUGGCUUACCCAGGCUUUGACGGGUAGCAGGCCUGAGAGGGUGACCGGCCACAUUGGGACUGAGAUACGGCCCAGACUCCUACGGGAGGCAGCAGUGGGGAAUAUGGCACAAUGGGAGGAAGCCUGAUGCAGCAACGCCGCGUGCGGGAUGACGGCCUUCGGGUUGUAAACCGCUGUCGCCUGUGACGAAGCGUGAGUGACGGUAAUGGGUAAAGAAGCACCGGCUAACUACGUG
RNAcentral lists this ribosomal RNA (468 nucleotides) under uncultured bacterium. Its description in RNAcentral is "partial 16S ribosomal RNA". It matches the Rfam family "Bacterial small subunit ribosomal RNA", at positions 28 to 507 of the family's 1533-position model. The record is from RNAcentral.